RNAcentral lists this transfer RNA (71 nucleotides) under Loxodonta africana (African savanna elephant). It matches the Rfam family "tRNA". Rfam says of the family: Transfer RNA (tRNA) molecules are approximately 80 nucleotides in length. Their secondary structure includes four short double-helical elements and three loops (D, anti-codon, and T loops). Further hydrogen bonds mediate the characteristic L-shaped molecular structure. tRNAs have two regions of fundamental functional importance: the anti-codon, which is responsible for specific mRNA codon recognition, and the 3' end, to which the tRNAs corresponding amino acid is attached (by aminoacyl-tRNA synthetases). tRNAs cope with the degeneracy of the genetic code in two manners: having more than one tRNA (with a specific anti-codon) for a particular amino acid; and 'wobble' base-pairing, i.e. permitting non-standard base-pairing at the 3rd anti-codon position. Lineage: Eukaryota; Metazoa; Chordata; Mammalia; Proboscidea; Elephantidae. The record is from Rfam by way of RNAcentral.
GCAGCGGCAGUUCAGCGGCAGAAUCCUCACCUUCCAUGUGGGAGACCCAGGUUUGACUCCUGGCCAGUGCA